This 590-nucleotide ribosomal RNA is filed under the name Ustilago striiformis. Its description in RNAcentral is "LSU rRNA". It matches the Rfam family "Eukaryotic large subunit ribosomal RNA", at positions 62 to 632 of the family's 3401-position model. Lineage: Eukaryota; Fungi; Basidiomycota; Ustilaginomycetes; Ustilaginales; Ustilaginaceae. The record is from RNAcentral.
AAACUAACAAGGAUUCCCCUAGUAACGGCGAGUGAAGAGGGAAGAGCCCAAGAUUGAAAGCUGGCGUCUUCGGCGUCCGCAUUGUAAUCUCAAGAAGUGUUUUCCGCUUCGGACCAUGCCUAAGUCCCUUGGAAAAGGGCCAUCAUAGAGGGUGAUAAUCCCGUACAUGGCAUGGAGCGCCCGAAGCUUUGUGAUACGCUUUCUAAGAGUCGAGUUGUUUGGGAAUGCAGCUCAAAAUGGGUGGUAAAUGCCAUCUAAGGCUAAAUAUUGGGGAGAGACCGAUAGCGAACAAGUACAGUGAUGGAAAGAUGAAAAGAACUUUGAAAAGAGAGUUAAACAGUACGUGAAAUUGCCAAAAGGGAAGGGUAGGAGGUCAGAGAUGCGUUCUGGGAUUCAGCCUUGCUUUUGCUUGGUGUUUUUCUCAAAUUGCAGGCCAACGUCGGUUUUGGGCGCUGGAGAAGGGUGGAAGGAACGUGGCACCCCUCGGGGUGUGUUAUAGCCUUCUACUGGAUACAGUGACCGAGACCGAGGACAGCAGCGUACUCGCAAGAGCGGGCCUUCGGGCACCUUUACGCUUAGGGCGUUGGCAU